This 609-nucleotide long non-coding RNA is filed under the name Camelus dromedarius (Arabian camel). RNAcentral's name for it is "lncRNA (ENSCDRG00005010224.1)". Lineage: Eukaryota; Metazoa; Chordata; Mammalia; Artiodactyla; Camelidae. The record is from RNAcentral.
CCUCCGUCGUUCCACUCUCAGUCAUUUUUAAUAGCGGCUUGAUCAAAAGACAAGGAAAGCAAACCACCUGAAAUACUUCAGACCGGUACUCCCACCUUCACCAGCACAGCUACAAGAUAAGCAUUUUGAAUUCAGCCAAUAAAUCAACUGUGGGUUAUUAACAGCACCUCCUUCACUUUGUUAGUGUGGACAAUAGUGAGCUGACUAGUGGAAUAUGGAGAGCCAUAAAGAAGUGGACCUAUUUUAAUGCAGGUUUAUCAAUUAACCAGACGGUUUUCUACAGAUGAAUAGGAGAAAGCAGGUUUACACUGACUGUAUAGUGUAAUUUCGGUGGGAUUCAGUAGAUGGCACAAAAGAGCUUCCCCGCCCCCCUCUGCAACAUUAAAUGUGGUUACCAAAUAAAUGUUUGAGGAAGUACUUGAUUUUCCUACAGACUGCCAGCAUGACAGAAGGACAGGUCAUCUCGAGUCUUCAUGAGUGGUGAUGGAGGGGCAUCCCAACCCUCUUCUAUGUUUGAAGAAGUCAGGACCACCAAGGCAUCAUCGGGCACCUCUGUGAAAGGGAUCUGUAUCUGUAUCAAGAUACUCUGAAGAAUAGCAACUACCCUUG